CCUACGGGUGGCAGCAGUGAGGAAUAUUGGUCAAUGGGCGCAAGCCUGAACCAGCCAAGCCGCGUGAAGGAAGACUGCCCUAUGAGUUGUAAACUUCUUUUGUAAGGGAGUAAAGUGGGAUACGUGUAUCCGUUUGUAAGUACUUUACGAAUAAGGAUCGGCUAACCCCGUGCCAGCAGCCGCGGUAAUACGGGGGAUCCGAGCGUUAUCCGGAUUUAUUGGGUUUAAAGGGAGGGUAGGGGGGCGGUUAAGUAAGUUGUGAAAUUUCGGGGCUCAACUUUAAAAUUGCAAUUGAUACUGGCAGGCUAGAGUGUAGUUGAGGUAGGCGGAAUUCAUGGUGUAGCGGUGAAAUGCUUAGAUAUCAUGAAGAACACCGAUUGCGAAGGCAGCUUACUAAGCUGCUACUGACGUUGAUGCACGAAAGCGUGGGGAGCAAACAGGAUUAGAUACCCGUGUAGUC
RNAcentral lists this ribosomal RNA (460 nucleotides) under uncultured bacterium. Its description in RNAcentral is "partial 16S ribosomal RNA". It matches the Rfam family "Bacterial small subunit ribosomal RNA", at positions 338 to 795 of the family's 1533-position model. The record is from RNAcentral.